GGGGCGUUAGCUCAGUUGGUAGAGCGCCACAAUGGCAUUGUGGAGGUCAGCGGUUCGAACCCGCUACGCUCCA
Molecule: transfer RNA, 73 nt
Filed under: Verrucomicrobiota bacterium
Lineage: Bacteria; Pseudomonadati; Verrucomicrobiota
Also listed under: 1 other name
Description: Verrucomicrobia bacterium (activated sludge metagenome) tRNA-Ala
Rfam family: tRNA
About the family: Transfer RNA (tRNA) molecules are approximately 80 nucleotides in length. Their secondary structure includes four short double-helical elements and three loops (D, anti-codon, and T loops). Further hydrogen bonds mediate the characteristic L-shaped molecular structure. tRNAs have two regions of fundamental functional importance: the anti-codon, which is responsible for specific mRNA codon recognition, and the 3' end, to which the tRNAs corresponding amino acid is attached (by aminoacyl-tRNA synthetases). tRNAs cope with the degeneracy of the genetic code in two manners: having more than one tRNA (with a specific anti-codon) for a particular amino acid; and 'wobble' base-pairing, i.e. permitting non-standard base-pairing at the 3rd anti-codon position.
Source: RNAcentral